Molecule: long non-coding RNA, 1611 nt
Organism: Trifolium pratense (red clover)
Lineage: Eukaryota; Viridiplantae; Streptophyta; Magnoliopsida; Fabales; Fabaceae
Exons: 3
Source: RefSeq, a predicted model, not a curated record
UAUUUGUAACAUACAAAAGAAGAAAAAAAGUAUGACUAAAAUUCUCAAGUUUACAUACGUUAUGAUCCUCUUACUUUUCCUAUUUCUUUUUAUAACUGAUGCCGGCUUUCCUGACCUACUCAAUCGAAAGAUGCCCACCGAAGUCACUUUCGGAACCAUACUUCCUACAGAUGAUGCAUGUAUUACUUUUCUUGAUUGUUUACAUGUGCAUUGUUUGUCAACUCAAACGCAGCUAUGUGUGAUGAACAAAUGUGAAUGCACGGAUUUAACAGGAUAAGCAGAACUGCGCUCAAGACAAUAUACUACUUAAUUUAGUCAUACAUACUAUAUAAUAGCUAUUUGUUUUACAUAAUUUUACAUAUGCAAACAAAAUAAUAUGUUUUGAAUACACAAUCCUUUUUGUACUAUAUAAUUAUAUGUAUGUUUUUAUAAUAUAUAUAAUAUAUAGCUUGCAAUCUUAUAAACAAAAUUGUUCCUAAUUAAAACUCUUCAUCACUUUCUUCAACACUAUUAUUACUCUUUUUAAGUUUCCCGUCUCUAUAACAAAAAAGGGAGAAAAUUCCUAAAAAGCAUGAAGCAUAUAAGAAAUACUCAAAGACAAAAAAUAAAAGAAACAACAGCCAAAAAUUCCAAACCAGCGAAACAGACGAAACCAUCAAAGCCGAAAACCUCAACCAACCCAUCCCCAACCUCCGAACAAGCUAAAAGAAUAGCGAUGUGAUACCAACAUGACAACCAAAAUCGGACACCCAACCAAAGACAAUGUUGACCCCUAGAACGAUCUCUUCCACAAAAUUCUACAUGUUCCAGUGUAGGACAGGUUCCACCUCCCACUCAUAGUGAUGUUAGUUGAUUAGUGAUGUUAAGCCAACAAUGUGUGAUAGAAUAGAAAAUUUUGUUAUAAUUAGUUGUCAUUAAUUUUCUGUAGUAUUAAGUUGUAUCAUAAUUAGAUAGUUGACUAAAUGAUGUAUAUAUAUUCUACUCAGAUGAAUGAGAAAGACAACAAUUCCAAUUAUCUUACACAAUGGAAUUCAUCUAUAUGAAGAAAAUGAUCGACCAAAGAAGGUUUACAACUAGCCUUCAAUAUAUAUAACAACAACAAAGAGCUAUGUAAAAUAUAUUCCACUAGUCCAUUUUUAAAAUUGAUAAUCAUAUAUAGUUUUGAAACUAAUUCUAUAUAUCAUUUCUCUCUUUAUAUAGUUAUAUCUCAUUGUGGAAUAUUAUUUAUAAAUUAUGGGACAAACAACUACAUAUAGGCAUUUGCAUGUUGCAUUAUACUUUAAAGUUGCAUUAUGGAAAUGAAUUUUGGAGGUUCCUAAUGCUGCAAAAUUGAUGAUCAAGAAGGAAUGCGAAUAUGAUGAAAUUGGUUAUGAUGUAACUAAUAAUUUUAUGCAAGAUGAUUGAUUGGUCUGAUUGAUGCAUUAGUAACUUGUUUUAGUGAAUAGUUUAAGAUUGAUGGUUUUUUUUUCAAUCGAUGAUUUUUGUAUUAAGUUACGACUUUUGGUGUUUUGCUAUUUUGUUGCAUGACCCGUUUAAAAAUCAUUAUGUCAUGUAUGUAAGUCAUGCGAAUAAUCAACUAUAUAUUAUGAUUAUUUUUUUAAGUUUAAGGAA